This 2923-nucleotide ribosomal RNA is filed under the name Klebsiella pneumoniae. RNAcentral describes it as "bacterial LSU rRNA". It matches the Rfam family "Bacterial large subunit ribosomal RNA". Lineage: Bacteria; Pseudomonadati; Pseudomonadota; Gammaproteobacteria; Enterobacterales; Enterobacteriaceae. The record is from RNAcentral.
GGGUUGUGAGGUUAAGCGACUAAGCGUACACGGUGGAUGCCCUGGCAGUCAGAGGCGAUGAAGGACGUGCUAAUCUGCGAAAAGCGUCGGUAAGGUGAUAUGAACCGUUACAGCCGGCGAUGUCCGAAUGGGGAAACCCAGUGCAAUUCGUUGCACUAUCGUUAACUGAAUACAUAGGUUAACGAGGCGAACCGGGGGAACUGAAACAUCUAAGUACCCCGAGGAAAAGAAAUCAACCGAGAUUCCCCCAGUAGCGGCGAGCGAACGGGGAGCAGCCCAGAGUCUGAAUCAGCUUGUGUGUUAGUGGAACGGUCUGGAAAGUCCGACGGUACAGGGUGAUAGUCCCGUACACCAAAAUGCACAGGCUGUGAACUCGAAGAGUAGGGCGGGACACGUGGUAUCCUGUCUGAAUAUGGGGGGACCAUCCUCCAAGGCUAAAUACUCCUGACUGACCGAUAGUGAACCAGUACCGUGAGGGAAAGGCGAAAAGAACCCCGGCGAGGGGAGUGAAAAAGAACCUGAAACCGUGUACGUACAAGCAGUGGGAGCACCUUCGGGUGUGACUGCGUACCUUUUGUAUAAUGGGUCAGCGACUUAUAUUCUGUAGCAAGGUUAACCGUAUAGGGGAGCCGCAGGGAAACCGAGUCUUAACUGGGCGUUAAGUUGCAGGGUAUAGACCCGAAACCCGGUGAUCUAGCCAUGGGCAGGUUGAAGGUUGGGUAACACUAACUGGAGGACCGAACCGACUAAUGUUGAAAAAUUAGCGGAUGACUUGUGGCUGGGGGUGAAAGGCCAAUCAAACCGGGAGAUAGCUGGUUCUCCCCGAAAGCUAUUUAGGUAGCGCCUCGUGAAUUCAUCUUCGGGGGUAGAGCACUGUUUCGGCUAGGGGGUCAUCCCGACUUACCAACCCGAUGCAAACUACGAAUACCGAAGAAUGUUAUCACGGGAGACACACGGCGGGUGCUAACGUCCGUCGUGAAGAGGGAAACAACCCAGACCGCCAGCUAAGGUCCCAAAGUCAUGGUUAAGUGGGAAACGAUGUGGGAAGGCACAGACAGCCAGGAUGUUGGCUUAGAAGCAGCCAUCAUUUAAAGAAAGCGUAAUAGCUCACUGGUCGAGUCGGCCUGCGCGGAAGAUGUAACGGGGCUAAACCAUGCACCGAAGCUGCGGCAGCGACACUAUGUGUUGUUGGGUAGGGGAGCGUUCUGUAAGCCUGCGAAGGUGUGCUGUGAGGCAUGCUGGAGGUAUCAGAAGUGCGAAUGCUGACAUAAGUAACGAUAAAGCGGGUGAAAAGCCCGCUCGCCGGAAGACCAAGGGUUCCUGUCCAACGUUAAUCGGGGCAGGGUGAGUCGACCCCUAAGGCGAGGCCGAAAGGCGUAGUCGAUGGGAAACAGGUUAAUAUUCCUGUACUUGGUGUUACUGCGAAGGGGGGACGGAGAAGGCUAUGUUAGCCGGGCGACGGUUGUCCCGGUUUAAGCAUGUAGGCUGGUUGUCCAGGCAAAUCCGGAUAAUCAAGGCUGAGGUGUGAUGACGAGGUACUACGGUGCUGAAGUAACAAAUGCCCUGCUUCCAGGAAAAGCCUCUAAGCAUCAGGUAACAUUAAAUCGUACCCCAAACCGACACAGGUGGUCAGGUAGAGAAUACCAAGGCGCUUGAGAGAACUCGGGUGAAGGAACUAGGCAAAAUGGUGCCGUAACUUCGGGAGAAGGCACGCUGGUGUGUAGGUGAAGUCCCUGCGGAUGGAGCUGAGACCAGUCGAAGAUACCAGCUGGCUGCAACUGUUUAUUAAAAACACAGCACUGUGCAAACACGAAAGUGGACGUAUACGGUGUGACGCCUGCCCGGUGCCGGAAGGUUAAUUGAUGGGGUUAUCCGUAAGGAGAAGCUCUUGAUCGAAGCCCCGGUAAACGGCGGCCGUAACUAUAACGGUCCUAAGGUAGCGAAAUUCCUUGUCGGGUAAGUUCCGACCUGCACGAAUGGCGUAAUGAUGGCCAGGCUGUCUCCACCCGAGACUCAGUGAAAUUGAACUCGCUGUGAAGAUGCAGUGUACCCGCGGCAAGACGGAAAGACCCCGUGAACCUUUACUAUAGCUUGACACUGAACAUUGAGCCUUGAUGUGUAGGAUAGGUGGGAGGCUUUGAAGCGUGGACGCCAGUCUGCGUGGAGCCAACCUUGAAAUACCACCCUUUAAUGUUUGAUGUUCUAACGUUGGCCCCUGACCGGGGUUGCGGACAGUGUCUGGUGGGUAGUUUGACUGGGGCGGUCUCCUCCCAAAGCGUAACGGAGGAGCACGAAGGUUAGCUAAUCCUGGUCGGACAUCAGGAGGUUAGUGCAAUGGCAUAAGCUAGCUUGACUGCGAGCGUGACGGCGCGAGCAGGUGCGAAAGCAGGUCAUAGUGAUCCGGUGGUUCUGAAUGGAAGGGCCAUCGCUCAACGGAUAAAAGGUACUCCGGGGAUAACAGGCUGAUACCGCCCAAGAGUUCAUAUCGACGGCGGUGUUUGGCACCUCGAUGUCGGCUCAUCACAUCCUGGGGCUGAAGUAGGUCCCAAGGGUAUGGCUGUUCGCCAUUUAAAGUGGUACGCGAGCUGGGUUUAGAACGUCGUGAGACAGUUCGGUCCCUAUCUGCCGUGGGCGCUGGAGAAUUGAGGGGGGCUGCUCCUAGUACGAGAGGACCGGAGUGGACGCAUCACUGGUGUUCGGGUUGUCAUGCCAAUGGCACUGCCCGGUAGCUAAAUGCGGAAGAGAUAAGUGCUGAAAGCAUCUAAGCACGAAACUUGCCCCGAGAUGAGUUCUCCCUGAGACUUUAAGUCUCCUGAAGGAACGUUGAAGACGACGACGUUGAUAGGCCGGGUGUGUAAGCGCAGCGAUGCGUUGAGCUAACCGGUACUAAUGAACCGUGAGGCUUAACCUUACAACGCCGAAG